AUACUGACAAGGUAAUCAAAAUAAACAAAAUGGCGAACAAGGGAAGAUUUUCAGUUCGAUUCAAGCUUUAAAAAUUCAUACUACAUACAGAGAAGAUAAGUCAGAUGAAGUUCCUUUUAAAAACUCUUAUCACUGAAUCCUCCAGUUCUGAAGACUUAAUAUACAGUAUUCUUCAACAGUGGUCAGGCUUGACUGAAAAUGGCCUACACAUACCUAUUAGAUCCAACUAGUCCAAGGAUACAUGUUGGACCCAAGAAAACUUGUUCAUAUUGAACAACUUUUUUUUUAAUAUAUUAGUUCUGAAUGUAAUUAAAAAAGAAAUUUAUAAA
This is a long non-coding RNA of Physella acuta, 329 nucleotides long. RefSeq lists it as uncharacterized. The record is from RefSeq and is a predicted model, not a curated record. Lineage: Eukaryota; Metazoa; Mollusca; Gastropoda; Physidae.